GGGUUGUGAGGUUAAGCGACUAAGCGUACACGGUGGAUGCCCUGGCAGUCAGAGGCGAUGAAGGGCGUGCUAAUCUGCGAUAAGCGCCGGUAAGGUGAUAUGAACCGUUAUAACCGGCGAUACCCGAAUGGGGAAACCCAGUGUGAUUCGUCACACUAUCAUUAACUGAAUCCAUAGGUUAAUGAGGCGAACCGGGGGAACUGAAACAUCUAAGUACCCCGAGGAAAAGAAAUCAACCGAGAUUCCCCCAGUAGCGGCGAGCGAACGGGGAGGAGCCCAGAGCCUGAAUCAGCAUAUGUGUUAGUGGAAGCGUCUGGAAAGGCGCGCGAUACAGGGUGACAGCCCCGUACACAAAAGCGCAUGUGCUGUGAGCUCGAUGAGUAGGGCGGGACACGUGGUAUCCUGUCUGAAUAUGGGGGGACCAUCCUCCAAGGCUAAAUACUCCUGACUGACCGAUAGUGAACCAGUACCGUGAGGGAAAGGCGAAAAGAACCCCGGCGAGGGGAGUGAAAAAGAACCUGAAACCGUGUACGUACAAGCAGUGGGAGCCCCACCACUAAGCCAGUGGUGAACUCCACAUACGCAUCCUUUGCUGAGGAUACGGUUAACGGAGCGCAAGCGACGUUCAACCUCAAAAGAAGCAGAGGGGGCUUAGUGGUGGGGUGACUGCGUACCUUUUGUAUAAUGGGUCAGCGACUUAUAUUCUGUAGCAAGGUUAACCGAAUAGGGGAGCCGGAGGGAAACCGAGUCUUAAUUGGGCGUUAAGUUGCAGGGUAUAGACCCGAAACCCGGUGAUCUAGCCAUGGGCAGGUUGAAGGUUGGGUAACACUAACUGGAGGACCGAACCGACUAAUGUUGAAAAAUUAGCGGAUGACCUGUGGCUGGGGGUGAAAGGCCAAUCAAACCGGGAGAUAGCUGGUUCUCCCCGAAAGCUAUUUAGGUAGCGCCUCGUGAAUUCAUCUCCGGGGGUAGAGCACUGUUUCGGCUAGGGGGCCAUCCCGGCUUACCAACCCGAUGCAAACUGCGAAUACCGGAGAAUGUUAUCACGGGAGACACACGGCGGGUGCUAACGUCCGUCGUGAAGAGGGAAACAACCCAGACCGCCAGCUAAGGUCCCAAAGUCAUGGUUAAGUGGGAAACGAUGUGGGAAGGCCCAGACAGCCAGGAUGUUGGCUUAGAAGCAGCCAUCAUUUAAAGAAAGCGUAAUAGCUCACUGGUCGAGUCGGCCUGCGCGGAAGAUGUAACGGGGCUAAACCAUGCACCGAAGCUGCGGCAGCGACACUCAGGUGUUGUUGGGUAGGGGAGCGUUCUGUAAGCCUGCGAAGGUGGCCUGUGAGGGUUGCUGGAGGUAUCAGAAGUGCGAAUGCUGACAUAAGUAACGAUAAAGCGGGUGAAAAGCCCGCUCGCCGGAAGACCAAGGGUUCCUGUCCAACGUUAAUCGGGGCAGGGUGAGUCGACCCCUAAGGCGAGGCCGAAAGGCGUAGUCGAUGGGAAACGGGUUAAUAUUCCCGUACUUGGUGUUACUGCGAAGGGGGGACGGAGAAGGCUAUGUUGGCCGGGCGACGGUUGUCCCGGUUUAAGCGUGUAGGUGUGUGUUCCAGGUAAAUCCGGUUCACUUUAACACUGAGGCGUGACGACGAGGCACUACGGUGCUGAAGCAACAAAUGCCCUGCUUCCAGGAAAAGCCUCUAAGCAUCAGGUAACAUCAAAUCGUACCCCAAACCGACACAGGUGGUCAGGUAGAGAAUACCAAGGCGCUUGAGAGAACUCGGGUGAAGGAACUAGGCAAAAUGGUGCCGUAACUUCGGGAGAAGGCACGCUGACAUGUAGGUGAAGUGAUUUACUCAUGGAGCUGAAGUCAGUCGAAGAUACCAGCUGGCUGCAACUGUUUAUUAAAAACACAGCACUGUGCAAACACGAAAGUGGACGUAUACGGUGUGACGCCUGCCCGGUGCCGGAAGGUUAAUUGAUGGGGUCAGCGCAAGCGAAGCUCCUGAUCGAAGCCCCGGUAAACGGCGGCCGUAACUAUAACGGUCCUAAGGUAGCGAAAUUCCUUGUCGGGUAAGUUCCGACCUGCACGAAUGGCGUAAUGAUGGCCAGGCUGUCUCCACCCGAGACUCAGUGAAAUUGAACUCGCUGUGAAGAUGCAGUGUACCCGCGGCAAGACGGAAAGACCCCGUGAACCUUUACUAUAGCUUGACACUGAACAUUGAGCCUUGAUGUGUAGGAUAGGUGGGAGGCUUUGAAGUGUGGACGCCAGUCUGCAUGGAGCCGACCUUGAAAUACCACCCUUUAAUGUUUGAUGUUCUAACGUGGACCCGUGAUCCGGGUUGCGGACAGUGUCUGGUGGGUAGUUUGACUGGGGCGGUCUCCUCCUAAAGAGUAACGGAGGAGCACGAAGGUUGGCUAAUCCUGGUCGGACAUCAGGAGGUUAGUGCAAUGGCAUAAGCCAGCUUGACUGCGAGCGUGACGGCGCGAGCAGGUGCGAAAGCAGGUCAUAGUGAUCCGGUGGUUCUGAAUGGAAGGGCCAUCGCUCAACGGAUAAAAGGUACUCCGGGGAUAACAGGCUGAUACCGCCCAAGAGUUCAUAUCGACGGCGGUGUUUGGCACCUCGAUGUCGGCUCAUCACAUCCUGGGGCUGAAGUAGGUCCCAAGGGUAUGGCUGUUCGCCAUUUAAAGUGGUACGCGAGCUGGGUUUAGAACGUCGUGAGACAGUUCGGUCCCUAUCUGCCGUGGGCGCUGGAGAACUGAGGGGGGCUGCUCCUAGUACGAGAGGACCGGAGUGGACGCAUCACUGGUGUUCGGGUUGUCAUGCCAAUGGCACUGCCCGGUAGCUAAAUGCGGAAGAGAUAAGUGCUGAAAGCAUCUAAGCACGAAACUUGCCCCGAGAUGAGUUCUCCCUGAGACUUUAGGUCUCCUGAAGGAACGUUGAAGACGACGACGUUGAUAGGCCGGGUGUGUAAGCGCAGCGAUGCGUUGAGCUAACCGGUACUAAUGAACCGUGAGGCUUAACCUUACAACGCCGAAG
RNAcentral lists this ribosomal RNA (3028 nucleotides) under Salmonella enterica subsp. enterica serovar Koessen str. S-1501. RNAcentral describes it as "bacterial LSU rRNA". It matches the Rfam family "Bacterial large subunit ribosomal RNA". Lineage: Bacteria; Pseudomonadati; Pseudomonadota; Gammaproteobacteria; Enterobacterales; Enterobacteriaceae. The record is from RNAcentral.